CAGAAACAUUUCUGUAAGUGGCUCUGGAUAAGAGCAUCUGCUAAAUGCCACAAU
Regulatory RNA element from Astyanax mexicanus (Mexican tetra), 54 nucleotides. It matches the Rfam family "UnaL2 LINE 3' element". Rfam says of the family: The eel long interspersed element (LINE) UnaL2 and its partner short interspersed element (SINE) share a conserved 3' tail containing a stem-loop that is critical for their retrotransposition. Presumably, the first step of retrotransposition is the recognition of their 3' tails by UnaL2-encoded reverse transcriptase. The record is from Rfam. NCBI's taxonomy places the organism in Eukaryota, Metazoa, Chordata, Actinopteri, Characiformes, Acestrorhamphidae.